This 119-nucleotide ribosomal RNA is filed under the name Petromyzon marinus (sea lamprey). Lineage: Eukaryota; Metazoa; Chordata; Hyperoartia; Petromyzontiformes; Petromyzontidae. The record is from RNAcentral.
GCCUACGACCAUAUCACCCUGAAUGCGCCCGAUCUCGUCUGAUCUCGGAAGCUAAGCAUGGUCGAGCCUGGUUAGUACUUGGAUAGGAGACUGCCUGGGAAUACCAGGUGUUGUAGGCU